Molecule: transfer RNA, 73 nt
Filed under: Acidimicrobiales bacterium
Lineage: Bacteria; Bacillati; Actinomycetota; Acidimicrobiia; Acidimicrobiales
Description: tRNA-Phe
Rfam family: tRNA
About the family: Transfer RNA (tRNA) molecules are approximately 80 nucleotides in length.
Source: RNAcentral
GCCGGUAUAGCUCAGUUGGGAGAGCGUCAGACUGAAGAUCUGAAGGUCGCUGGUUCGAUCCCGGCUGUCGGCA